UGUACUAUCUGUAGAAACACCUCUGCCAGCAACCUGGUUGGGAGUCUACUUUCAUAUAGCUUCUCUGAUCAGUAAUCACCUGUCAAUCAUCCACACCUGAGAGCAACCUGGGUGGGAGUCUACUUUCAUAUAGCUUCUCUGAUCAGUAAUCACCUGUCAAUCAUCCACACCUGAGAGCAACAGGGUUGGGGUCAUUUUCAUUUUCAUUCAGUCAAUUUAAGAAAGUAACUAAAAGUCCAUUUCCACAAUGUUGCUCUCAGGCUGUUUAUCUGGCAGCUCAAUUCUGACAUUUAGCCCAAUGACGAAGGGGUACAACGAUGGAGGAAUUCAGAUAUUAUAUCAUAGUUUGAGCAUCAUCCACAGACUUUAAACCACGGCUGGGUUUCUGUAUAAGCACUUUGUGACAUUUGAUGGAGGAGGUUUGAUUUGACUGAAUGGAAUUGACCUCAACCCUGGCGAAAAUCACAGGAUCCUCCAAGAUCCUGGCCCUGCCUGCUGCUGCCACCUAGUGGGAGGAUGUAUUUAUCCAUGGCUUGAGAAGGGAGGUCUGGAUGGGACUUCAUGACAGCCAUGCAGAGGAAGUUUGGGAGUGGGUUGAUGGGACAUCUUACUACCCAGAGAGUUGACCACCUGGCUCUCUGUGCUAUUGAACAAGAUGAUUUGGUUACACUUUAUAACAACCCUCAUGAAUAGGCCAUUAUAAAUGCUCAGGAAUUGUAAUGGUUAUAAUGUUU
Molecule: non-coding RNA, 734 nt
Organism: Oncorhynchus mykiss (rainbow trout)
Lineage: Eukaryota; Metazoa; Chordata; Actinopteri; Salmoniformes; Salmonidae
Source: RefSeq, a predicted model, not a curated record